GUUUUUGUGGGGAGCCUAAUCUGACUGACUUGGUGGUGAGAAAGAACCCAGAGGGUCCCGGCAGAGAGGAGGAUGCGGUUGUAAGAACUUCCCCUGAAGGGGGUGGGGUUUGGAAAGCCAGUGGAAGGACAAAGAAAUGAGGCAUUUUCCAAGUGUUUACAAUAGAGGAAAGUUGGAAGGGAGCUAAAUGGGCGCCAGGAGGAGGAGUGGUUGAGCAAUUUUGGCAUCGCCACUGGGUGUAAUGAUGCAGCCACUCACGGAGGGGAAACAGGGAGGGUUUCGGAGGAGGUCAAGUGCACAUCAGUCCCCACAGGGUCAGCCCUGGUCCAGGCCUCUCACAGCAAGAAGCUCCUUACCCGCGUCGUCAUGUUGAAUCUGCUCCGUGAAAAGUGUCCUUCAAUGCCGGUCUUUGCUGUUGUUCUUGCCUCUCCUUUGAAAAACAACAAGAAGAAAAAUCGGGCUAUCUAGAGCAGCUGUGUCGGAUAGACCUUUCCGGAAUGCUGAAAAUGUCCCCUCUUCCUGCUGUCCGGUGUGGCGGCCCUCAGCCACGUGUGGCUCUUGAGCCCUUGAAAUGCAGCUGGUGUGACUGAGGAGCAGGAUUUCUAUUUUUGUUUCAUUUUAAUCAAUGUAUUUAAAUUUAGAUGGCCUGCGUGCCACUAGGGGCUACCACAUCGGACGGUGGGGAGCUGGCGAGGGGCUGGGUGUUGUUCGUGUCGAGCCGUGUCAUCCCCAGUCUGCUGCCAAGGCCUGUGAUUACUAAGCUUGUGGGUGAGGGAGGAUCUGCGGCAGUUUCCCAGCUGGUCCCCGGCCGGCGGGAUCGGAAUCCCCCGGGAUGGAGUGGGAAUGCCCCUUUCCAACAACUUCCCGAGGAGUCCUGAAGCAACCGGCAGUGGACACCCCUGUGCUGGCUGCUGGCUUCCAGAGGCCCAGGGGCCUCCAACGGGAGAGGAAACCUGAGCGGCGCUUCACCUUGGUCUGGAAAUGGUUAACAAGGCCAGCUUUCCUCCGGGUCCCUGCCGCCCUGGGAACAGACAGAUGGGACGUAAACCCCUUCCCCAUCACAGCCUGGCUGUGUGACCUGGGUCGGUCACUUCACCUCUCUGAACCUCACUGCCCCGGUGGAGGACGAGGCUUAUUAGCAGUGCCGUCCUCAUUGUGAAGGCAGGGCUUUGUAACCCUGAGCCAGGCACAUAAUAAAGUUCAAUAAAUGGAAGCCCCAAAGAAGGGCGGGGUAGCAGGAGCCACAGGCCCAGCUGUGCCGAGCAGAGCGGCAGACACCCUCAAGACAGCCCUCAGCGCCGCUGAGCCUCACACUCACAUUUUCCGGUGAGCCUGGGACUCAGAAAUGGGUCAUAAAAC
This 1359-nucleotide long non-coding RNA is filed under the name Equus asinus (donkey). RNAcentral's name for it is "lncRNA (ENSEASG00005027804.1)". Lineage: Eukaryota; Metazoa; Chordata; Mammalia; Perissodactyla; Equidae. The record is from RNAcentral.